CAAGUCGAACGAAGCACUGUGGAUAGAGACUCGGUCAAUUGAAACUUUGACUAGUGGCGGACGGGUGAGUAAUGCAUGAGCAACCUGCCUUGGAGUGGGGGACAACAGUUGGAAACGACUGCUAAUACCGCAUGAUGUUAUCGGAGGGCAUCCUCUGGUAACCAAAGAUUUAUCGCUCUGAGAUGGGCUCAUGUCUGAUUAGGUAGUUGGCGGGGCAACGGCCCACCAAGCCUACGAUCAGUAGCCGGACUGAGAGGUUGAACGGCCACAUUGGGACUGAGAUACGGCCCAGACUCCUACGGGAGGCAGCAGUGGGGAAUAUUGGGCAAUGGGCGAAAAAGCCUGACCCAGCAACGCCGCGUGAAGGAAGAAGGCCUUCGGGUUGUAAACUUCUUUUCUGAGGGACGAAGGAAGUGACGGUACCUCAGGAAUAAGCCACGGCUAACUACGUGCCAGCAGCCGC
This 463-nucleotide ribosomal RNA is filed under the name uncultured bacterium. Its description in RNAcentral is "bacterial SSU rRNA". It matches the Rfam family "Bacterial small subunit ribosomal RNA", at positions 58 to 518 of the family's 1533-position model. The record is from RNAcentral.